CUCAGGAUGAACGCUAGCGGCAGGCUUAACACAUGCAAGUCGAGGGGUAUAGGUUUUCGGACCUAGAGACCGGCGCACGGGUGCGUAACGCGUAUGCAAUCUACCUUUCACAGAGGGAUAGCCCAGAGAAAUUUGGAUUAAUACCUCAUAGUAUAUCGAGUUGGCAUCAACAUGAUAUUAAAGAUUUAUCGGUGAAAGAUGAGCAUGCGUCCCAUUAGCUAGUUGGUAUGGUAACGGCAUACCAAGGCUACGAUGGGUAGGGGUCCUGAGAGGGAGAUCCCCCACACUGGUACUGAGACACGGACCAGACUCCUACGGGAGGCAGCAGUGAGGAAUAUUGGACAAUGGGCGCAAGCCUGAUCCAGCCAUGCCGCGUGCAGGAUGACGGUCCUAUGGAUUGUAAACUGCUUUUAUACGAGAAGAAACACUCCUUCGUGAAGGAGCUUGACGGUAUCGUAAGAAUAAGGAUCGGCUAACUCCGUGCCAGCAGCCGCGGUAAUACGGAGGAUCCAAGCGUUAUCCGGAAUCAUUGGGUUUAAAGGGUCCGUAGGCGGUUUAGUAAGUCAGUGGUGAAAGCCCAUCGCUCAACGGUGGAACGGCCAUUGAUACUGCUAGACUUGAAUUAUUAGGAAGUAACUAGAAUAUGUAGUGUAGCGGUGAAAUGCUUAGAGAUUACAUGGAAUACCAAUUGCGAAGGCAGGUUACUACUAAUUGAUUGACGCUGAUGGACGAAAGCGUGGGUAGCGAACAGGAUUAGAUACCCUGGUAGUCCACGCCGUAAACGAUGGAUACUAGCUGUUGGGAGCAAUCUCAGUGGCUAAGCGAAAGUGAUAA
Molecule: ribosomal RNA, 834 nt
Filed under: uncultured Flavobacterium sp.
Lineage: Bacteria; Pseudomonadati; Bacteroidota; Flavobacteriia; Flavobacteriales; Flavobacteriaceae
Description: bacterial SSU rRNA
Rfam family: Bacterial small subunit ribosomal RNA
Source: RNAcentral